This 3561-nucleotide small RNA is filed under the name Rattus norvegicus (Norway rat). RNAcentral's name for it is "uncharacterized LOC102554307". Lineage: Eukaryota; Metazoa; Chordata; Mammalia; Rodentia; Muridae. The record is from RNAcentral.
ACACACACACACACCUGCUGAGUAGCAAACUGACGAGAAAGUUGCCUUCUUCAUUCUGUGCUGUUUAAGGUCUCCAGCUCUCCUUUAAGUCUGCCUCCUGUCUUAAAGCGACCGUGACAUCAGUUACCCUCUGUGGCACACAGUGUUUUCAGAUAAUGGUACAGAAGCAGUAACUAAUUAUUGUUUCAAGGAAGAGGCCACGGUCUCCAGUUGCUAUUUGAGAGAUUUAAAAGUGUUAGUCUAGUUUAGUGUUUUGUUUUUCUUUUUAAAAAUUCCACUGAGGGGCUGGGUUGCUUAGAUAACCUUUCUGCUCCAGAGAAAGCCUGUGUGUUCUGGAAACGGAGGCUUUAGCGGAAGUGGGCUAACAAAACCACCACGCAUGGCCCAUGAACAGAAGGCACGAGGAACGUGGUGGCUACUUCUGCGGAAAUGAGGAGUCCAUUUAUAGACCACGUGGUACUGGCUGGAAUUCGGUGGAUGGGCAGCUGUGACAAGGGUUAAGAUUGGGAAUGUGCAGGGCACAAGUGACAUUUUGCAGGGCCUUGUGGAGACCAAGAAAUGGAGUAGCUAUCGGGUGCAAUGGGACACAAUAGUGAAAUAGUUGGGGUUUGCAGCUCAAGUUCAAGAGGGUGGUUUAGAGGUGACAGGUAGGCUCUCUUACCUCAGACAUCCUGACAAAUCAAUGAAGCUAAUGUAUGAACCUUGUGUUACCUGCUGCUUGAGAACCCUGAAUUCUCUUUUUCUACCACUUUCACAGGAAAGAUGGUGGACCUAGUGGGCCCUACGGCAUACUGCAGAACCUCUCUUCUAGAAGGAGUUCCACGUGACCCGUGUGUCUUUGUAGACCUGCUUUCCUGCCAAGGAGAAAGGAAAGUUUGAGCAGAGGUGAGGGAAGAGGACUUAUGUAAAAAUGUAUGUUGGCAGCUAUUCCUAGUUCUCCAAGGGAAAUUAAAGAGCAGCCCCCUGUGGCUGGCUGAGUCAAUACCUUACAAGGAUGUCUUCACCCUCAUCCCCAGAACCUGUGAGCCUGUUUCCUUAUAUGGCAAAGACUUUGGAAAUGUGAACAAAGAGUGCAGGUGGUCAUGAGAAACUAGAAAUGACAAGAAGAUGGCUCCUCUCCCUCCAGGUAGAGUGACAGACUCUCUGUUAGCCCAGUGAAAUCCAUUGCAAGCCCUCCACCAAAUAGCUAAGUAUGUGUUGGUUUUAGUUUCCAAGUAUUGCAGAAAACAUAGGAAGCAGAUGACUCCCUUCGAUUUUCUCCUUGACCUUCGGAGUGGCAGGAACUUUGCUUCGUUGGUUGUUAGGAGGCACUGGGCUGUGGGGAAACAGAACACGGGUGCCCUCCCAGAAAGUUACAGUCUAGUUUAGCUCAGCCACCUGCCUGCUGGUGGGAACCAGGUGGUGGUGGGUAACUUGUAACCCUUCACCCACUCUUCUUAUCCUUGGAGUGAAUGAGACAUUGACUACCUUCAGGGUGACAUGGACACGAUGGAGCAAGUUAAAGAACAUGGACAUAUACAAGUUCCCACGGAGAACAUGGGGAAAAUCUGGGAUCAGGCAGGCAUCUUGAAUUUGAUUGGUGAUAGGUUGGAGUUUUCUAGGUAAGGGGUGGGGACAGAGCCAACAGGCAGAAGGCCAAGUGUGUGGUCUAUGAUCUACCUUCGUCACACAGGGCCAUGUUGACCUCAGUGUCCAUUCUGGGACUGUGAUUGGCCCUCUGGGCCCUCUCCACGAUAUUGGGACCUGCCAGGCUUUCUUAACUACAGCAGCUCAAGUGUCAUGAUGUCAGGAGGGAAGACGUGAAAGGCUCCAGGUCGCUGCACGGCUUUGGUGCAGGUUGUUGGCAGUGUGAUACCAGAACUCCCUCUCCCAGCCAUUCUAACAGGGUUCUACAGAGUGCCCACCAGCAAGACCUUUAUCAGGUGUCAUCCUUCAAUCUCGGACAUUCCUGCCUGCAGAAUUGUGACUAUAAUAAACCUUUCUUCUUUAUAAUCAUCUUCUCUGUGAUAUUCAAGGACAGCAACAGAAAAUAGACUAAGAAAGGUUACUGAGUCCUGCUUCUUAACUGUCCUGUUUCUGGAAUACUGUAAUUACAAGUAUGAACAGUCACAUCCAGUUGAAGAACUCAUGAAUGAAUGUGUGUUAAAUGAAUUCCUAUUACCCAGCUAUCUCUGAGAAGAUACUGAUAACGUGGAUAUAUGGCAAAGUCUUCUACCUGACACACCAAGUCUCUCUCCUUAGAAAGUAGUCAUCACAGCAUGUAGCUCCAUCGAUAGCACAAACAGAAGAAGGCUUGAGUUCAUUCCUCAGCCCUGCGCAAACCAGGAGUGUCGUGCAUGCUUGUAAUGUCAGCAUUCAAGAGGUCUAGACACAAGGAUCAGAAAUUCAGGGUCUUCUCUGGAUCCAUACAGAGUUUGAGGCCCACCUAAGCUAUAUAAUACUACAUGUGUAUACGGGAGAAGGUGACCAUAGCCCACAUUCUUUCCCAUGUUGUUCAAUGGUGCGAUGUAAAUAACUCAAUCUCAGAGACAGAACGCAGUCUAUUCCUUAGAAAGAGCCACUUCUUGUUUUCUUGGAGUCCUGCAGACGGAGACUACAGUGAUGGCCACAGUAGAAAACAAGAGAUAAGACGCUCAUGGGAAAGAUGCCCUCCCUGUACCAGGAAAAAAGAAACAUUCUUCGUUGGGGAGUUAGAGCCAAAAGAAUUCUGUACAAACAGACCUUGCUAAAAUAGUUCUUAUCUUCUUGUAGUUUCCAAAAAUAAUUGAGUUAUUUUGCCAGUUCUUCCUAUUAAGCCUCACACAAAACCACAUAGAGCCUGCAUUUCUCAGUGUCAUUUCUUCAUGAGUGCUCUUGAGCCAUACAAAGCAUAUUGAAUUGGUGUGCUUUUGUUGCAUUAGUCUAUAUGUGUCCACUUGAUUCUUGGAACUCCAUCAGAAUCCCUGAGAGAGCACAGUUGAAGCCUCCCUUACACCAUGACUGUCCUCAAGGCCUUCCCACACACUGGGCAUGUGUCUUAUGGAGAGAUGGCUUUCCAGAUGCUAGCAAGUAAAGACUAGCGCUCUACCGUGCACUACUGCCUUGGUGAAGGUAUGUGGGAGCUCUUUGUACAUCACUGUGAACUGCCUCUAUGUCUCCACCAUCCCCUGGGUGCUAGUCCUUGUGGCAUGGCCUCAACAUCCUUCUUGAAACUGGGUACCAGUAACAGAGACAAAGGUGAGAGCUUUCAGAAGAAAACGCUGUCAAAAACGUCUAUAAUACUGAGUCCCAGUGAGAUACUGUCCAUUGAGACGCUGGGCUCAUAGCUGAUAAUGGGGAAAAAAAGACAUGCUGAUAGAUGGGCAACUUUUAUUACUGUUAGGGGCUGUAAAUCUCCCACCAUGAAUCACACAGGCAUUGUACAGUAUAUCCAAUGCUUCUAUUAAUGAACAAAAGUCUUAAGGUUAUAGUCAGUUAAAGUUCCAAUUUGCAACAACUGAGUUAUAAAUUUCUAUUUCCAACAUUUUUGAGACUUGACUAAACACCUAAUCAUCCCAAGCCCCCAACCCACAAAUAAACUUG